Non-coding RNA from Microcebus murinus (gray mouse lemur), 2092 nucleotides. NCBI's taxonomy places the organism in Eukaryota, Metazoa, Chordata, Mammalia, Primates, Cheirogaleidae. The record is from RefSeq and is a predicted model, not a curated record.
CCGCGAGGGAGCCUGGGAAGAGGCGGGGAACAAUAUGGCGGAUGGCGAGGAGCCAAUGGCUGUGGAUGGUGGGUGUGGGGACACUGGAGACUGGGAAGGUCGCUGGGACCAUGUAAAGAAGUUCCUCGAGCGAUCUGGACCCUUCACACACCCCGAUUUCGAGCCCAGCACCGAAUCUCUCCAGUUCUUGUUAGAUACAUGUAAAGUUCUAGUCAUUGGAGCUGGCGGCUUAGGAUGUGAGCUCCUGAAAAAUCUGGCAUUGUCUGGUUUUCGACAGAUUCAUGUUAUAGACAUGGACACUAUAGAUGUUUCCAAUCUAAAUAGGCAGUUUUUAUUUAGGCCUAAAGAUGUUGGAAGACCUAAGGCUGAAGUUGCUGCAGAAUUUCUAAAUGACAGAGUUCCUAAUUGCAAUGUAGUUCCACAUUUCAACAAGAUUCAGGAUUUUAAUGACACUUUCUAUCGACAGUUUCAUAUUAUUGUAUGUGGGCUGGACUCCAUCAUAGCCCGAAGAUGGAUAAAUGGCAUGCUGAUCUCCCUUCUGAAUUAUGAAGACGGUGUGUUAGAUCCCAGCUCCAUUGUUCCUUUGAUAGAUGGGGGGACAGAAGGUUUUAAAGGAAAUGCCCGGGUGAUCCUGCCUGGAAUGACGGCUUGUGUGGAGUGCACGCUGGAGCUGUACCCGCCACAGGUUAAUUUCCCCAUGUGCACCAUUGCUUCUAUGCCCAGGCUCCCCGAGCACUGUAUUGAGUACGUGAGGAUGCUGCAGUGGCCCAAGGAACAGCCCUUUGGAGAAGGGGUUCCGUUAGAUGGAGAUGACCCCGAACACAUUCAGUGGAUUUUCCAGAACUCCCUGGAGAGAGCGUCACUGUAUAAUAUCAGGGGUGUCACAUACAGACUCACUCAAGGGGUAGUAAAACGAAUCAUUCCUGCUGUCGCUUCCACAAAUGCAGUCAUUGCAGCUGUGUGUGCCACUGAGGUUUUUAAAAUAGCCACAAGUGCAUACAUUCCCCUUAACAAUUACUUGGUGUUCAACGAUGUAGAUGGGCUGUACACUUACAUGUUUGAAGCAGAGAGAAAGGAAAACUGCCCAGCUUGCAGCCAGCUUCCUCAGAAUAUUCAGUUUUCCCCGUCAGCCAAGCUACAGGAGGUUUUGGAUUAUCUGACCAACAGUGCUUCUCUGCAAAUGAAAUCUCCAGCCAUCACAGCCACACUAGAGGGAAGAAAUAGGACACUUUACUUACAGUCAGUAACUUCUAUUGAAGAACGAACAAGACCAAAUCUCUCAAAGACAUUGAAAGAAUUGGGGCUUGUUGACGGACAAGAGCUCGCGGUUGCUGAUGUCACCACACCACAGACUGUCCUGUUCAAACUUCAUUUUACUUCCUAAGGAAAAUAAAUCUGCAUAUAAUAGAAAACUUAUGGAAAAAUAUACUUCACAGAUGCUAAGAAGUUUAAUUGAUGUCAUUUUUAGCAGUAGUGUUGCUGGAAUUUGACCUUUUUUGUAUAACAAACCACUCUUUUUUAACUUUAUAACUUUCCCUGGAAGACAGGAUUUGGGGGUUGGUGCUCAUCAGCAUUUUCGUUAAUAAUAUGGGAAGCGAUGGCCGGAGAGAGAGAUUAUGAGAAAAGGUACUGCUUCUUUUGGAGGAGGCAGCCGUCCUCUUGUGUGAAUUUUGUUAUUAUGGUCAAAGAGUGCAUUCCUCAGCUUUCAUUUGAGGCCCCACAUAUACAAAAGAUGUCCCUUUAAAGAAAACAAGGAAUUAUGUUUUAAAUGACAUUAAAUAUUACAGCCUGACAUCUGGAGUAUAUUGAACAUAGGCUAUAUCUUGAUUUAAUAUUCAUUUAAUUGUGGUUGUCCAAAUGAAUAUUAAUUAUUGCAAAGUUUAUCUUGUCCACAAUAACUUGUAAAAUGGUGUUAUAGCUGAAUAGCUGAGCAUGGAAAUGGGAAAUAUUUUCAUGUGUUUAUUUGCAGUGCCAUAGAGGCCAGUAUGCAUAAUAUUAAAACCAAGACAUGGCUGUUUAAAAAUUUAAUGUUUAAACAGUUAUCACUGAUGCUUUUGCACUAUUUAUUAAUAAAAUCAUAUAUUGUCUAAAA